GACGAACGCUGGCGGCGUGCUUAACACAUGCAAGUCGAACGGAAAGGCCUGCUUUCCCUUGUGGUUUGCGGGUACUCGAGUGGCGAACGGGUGAGUAACACGUGAGUGAUCUGCCCCCAACUUGGGUAUAAGCCUGGGAAACUGGGUCUAAUUCCCGAUAGGACUGCAGGGUGGUGCCUGUGGUGGAAAACGAUGUUCUAGUGGGUGGGGAUGAGCUCGCGGCCUAUCAGCUUGUUGGUGGGGUAAUGGCGUACCAAGGCGGCGACGGGGAGCCGGCCUGAGAGGGUGGACGGCCACAUUGGGACUGAGACACGGCCCCGACUCCUACGGGAGGCAGCAGUGGGGAAUAAUGCACAAUGGGCGGAAGCCUGAUGCAGCGACGCCGCGUGGGAGAUGACGGCCUUCGGGUGGUAAACUCCUUUCGACCGCGAGGAAGCCACCUGGUUGGAAGGGUGGUGACGGUAGUGGUAGAAGAAGCACCGGCUAACUACGUG
This 494-nucleotide ribosomal RNA is filed under the name uncultured bacterium. RNAcentral describes it as "partial 16S ribosomal RNA". It matches the Rfam family "Bacterial small subunit ribosomal RNA", at positions 28 to 507 of the family's 1533-position model. The record is from RNAcentral.